This 507-nucleotide ribosomal RNA is filed under the name uncultured bacterium. RNAcentral describes it as "bacterial SSU rRNA". It matches the Rfam family "Bacterial small subunit ribosomal RNA", at positions 1011 to 1518 of the family's 1533-position model. The record is from RNAcentral.
GCGACUCUUCGGAGGCGUUACACAGGUGCUGCAUGGCCGUCGUCAGCUCGUGUCGUGAGAUGUUUGGUUAAGUCCAGCAACGAGCGCAACCCCUGUUGCCAGUUACCAGCACGUGAAGGUGGGGACUCUGGCGAGACUGCCCAGAUCAACUGGGAGGAAGGUGGGGACGACGUCAGGUCAGUAUGGCCCUUAUGCCCAGGGCUGCACACGUACUACAAUGCCCAGUACAGAGGGGGCCGAAGCCGCGAGGCGGAGGAAAUCCUAAAAACUGGGCCCAGUUCGGACUGUAGGCUGCAACCCGCCUACACGAAGCCGGAAUCGCUAGUAAUGGCGCAUCAGCUACGGCGCCGUGAAUACGUUCCCGGGUCUUGUACACACCGCCCGUCACAUCAUGGAAGCCGGUCGCACCCGAAGUAUCUGAAGCCAACCGCAAGGAGGCAGGGUCCUAAGGUGAGACUGGUAACUGGGAUGAAGUCGUAACAAGGUAGCCGUAGGGGAACCUGCGGC